RNAcentral lists this ribosomal RNA (436 nucleotides) under uncultured bacterium. RNAcentral's name for it is "partial 16S ribosomal RNA". It matches the Rfam family "Bacterial small subunit ribosomal RNA", at positions 29 to 507 of the family's 1533-position model. The record is from RNAcentral.
GCGAACGCUGGCGGCAGGCUUAACACAUGCAAGUCGAGCGGGCAUCCUUGUGGUGUCAGCGGCAGACGGGUGAGUAACGCGUGGGAACGUGCCCUUCGGUUCGGAAUAACUCAGGGAAACUUGAGCUAAUACCGGAUACGUGCGAGAGCAGAAAGGUUUAUCUGCCGAAGGAUCGGCCCGCGUCUGAUUAGCUAGUUGGUGAGGUUACGGCUCACCAAGGCGACGAUCAGUAGCUGGUCUGAGAGGAUGAUCAGCCACACUGGGACUGAGACACGGCCCAGACUCCUACGGGAAGCAGCAGUGGGGAAUAUUGGACAAUGGGGGCAACCCUGAUCCAGCCAUGCCGCGUGAGUGAUGACGGCCUUAGGGUUGUAAAGCUCUUUUCUCCGGGACGAUAAUGACGGUACCGGAGGAAUAAGCCCCGGCUAACUUCGUG